This 519-nucleotide transfer RNA is filed under the name uncultured fungus. Its description in RNAcentral is "sequence contains 18S rRNA gene, ITS1, 5.8S rRNA gene, ITS2, 28S rRNA gene". The stretch from base 294 to 367 matches the Rfam family "tRNA". The record is from RNAcentral. Lineage: Eukaryota; Fungi.
GGCUGGAUCACCUCCUUUAAAAAGCAAGCAUCUUUCGGGAUGCGAGCGCCCAACACAAGUUACCUGUGAAGCCCUGGCGAGUAAUGACUCGGGGGUUUCAACUUAUAUAGCAACCGGCCACGAUCGAAUAUUUCUCUUCGAGCCUCCUGCGUCUGAUUUGGAGAGCUAUUACGAAGGGAUUUUUUCUCGGAUCAAGGCGCCGCGCAGUGAGAAGGGAGGGAGCGUACAUCAGGUACGUAACCGAACGCCGAGCAAGCGCAACGCCGAGUCGAGGAAAAAGACCAAGUAAGAGCGGGUCUGUAGCUCAGUUGGUUAGAGCGCACCCCUGAUAAGGGUGAGGUCGGAAGUUCGAAUCUUCCCAGACCCACCACAAUUCGGGGCCAUAGCUCAGCUGGGAGAGCGCCUGCCUUGCACGCAGGAGGUCGGCGGUUCGAUCCCGCCUGGCUCCACCACUUGUGGACCGAGGCUAGGUUGCUGUAAUACAAAUUGAAAGCCGGCGGUGUCGGUACACUGUUUUUG